This 21589-nucleotide long non-coding RNA is filed under the name Homo sapiens (human). Its description in RNAcentral is "non-protein coding lnc-FSIP1-4:23". The record is from RNAcentral. Lineage: Eukaryota; Metazoa; Chordata; Mammalia; Primates; Hominidae.
AAGCAUAGUGCUUAGUGUUGCUCCCUUAGAAAUUCUUCCCUCAAAGCAUCCUGGGGGUCAGCUCAGCCUCAAGUCACUUUGGGACCUCAGGGACAGAUUUUGGGGGGUGGUAAGAAAUGGCAACCAGGUUGGGUGUAGGAUGACCCCUGAGAAAAGCAGUCAGAAGUCCAGAAUAUUAUAUCCCAAAGCACUGGAAAUCAGGCUGACUUCACUGUUUUUGUUCCUGGACUAUGGUCAGGUAAGUAGGGAUUGGUGGAAAGGGUUCUUGCAGCAAGAAUACUGAAAAUUAAAUGAAUUAUGGCUUUGUGGAUCUAUAUAGAUAGAACUCCAAUUGGAGAUCCAGGUGAGGGGUCUGCCAUAAACCAAGGUAUCUGACAAACAGGCAAGGCCCUAGGCGAGACUCUGGACUCAGCAGGGAAAACCAGAGCCUGAAGCAGGUACACCAGGCUGAAAUCAAACCGACAAGGAGAACACAAUAGGGCAGUAAAGGAAAGCUUGACUCAGUUUGUGCAUGGGUUCCCAUGCCUCAUCCCUGGGACUAGGUAGAGUAGGGCUCCUCAAACUCAGCGCUGUGAACAGCUGGGGCUGGACAGUACUCUGUUGGUGGGGGGUUACCCUCUGCAUUGUAGGGUAUUUAAUGACAUUCCUCACCUUUACCCACUAGGUGCUAUUAAUUAAUAUUCCCUCAGCUGUGACAACCAUAGAUGUCUCCAGACAUUGACAAAUAUCUCUGGGUGGAAAAAGUUGCCCUAAUUGGAAACCAUUAGUUGACAGCAAAAGACUAAUUCCUGUCAGCACUGACUGGUGGGACCACUUUCUUGAUCAGAAUUGGUUCAGGAAUAGGCACAGUUGAAUCUGUCAAUUAAGGCUCUCUGGAUCUGCAGACAAGCAGGGCUAGUACUUGACAGAAACUGUCCAAAGACCUUUAGCACUAAAAUGAGAAAAACCAUUAAGUGUUGGAGAGGAGAAGGCUAUCAUUGUGUUUGGAGUUAAGAAGAGGGUGGAGAAGGAAGAUGAAGAUGUCAGGGUGAAGUUAGGUCUAUAAGUCUGAGCCAAGUUGAGAGCUUAUGGUAGAGGCCACGCCUGCUCCAUUGGGCUUGUCUAGACCAAGACCUAUUAUUCAGAACCCCCAGUCCUUGCCAUUUGGUGCACUUUGGUAUCCAAAUCCUACAUUUUGAUAGAGCACUGAGCAAAGGCCUAGGUGGAUCUUUGAUGAUGAAGUCCGUGCUUGUCACUCCAACUUGAUGAUCCACUCUCUUCCAUAUGGCUGUCUGGUUCAUUAUGAGAAGGCUUACAGGAGGCUACAAUGGCAACUUUCCAGCAAUAUGAAUGCUUUGAAGGCUCAGAUGAACUCUGUUAAGAGAAGAAUGCCCAGCAAGGUCCAGGAUAAUGUUUAUGCUGAAUCUUGUCCAAGUUUCUCUUCCUGGGAAAGAUAUUAGCUGACUCUGGAGCUAAGUCUAAGUUGAGGCCAGUGAGACCUGUCCUGUAGCUUCAUCCCCAUAACAAUGGUUGAUACUGGCUUUAUUCAUGGCUUCCUAUCUACUGUUUCCAGAGAUGAUCUUUCACAGUCUUCAAUAAGCCUUCAACUCUCAGGAAUUUUACCAUUUCUAAAUUCAGGAUUUCUGCUAUUUCCUGUGGUUAUAUUGGCCCUAUAAACAGCACAUCUUUCUUUUCAGUGAAGAAAUUAAAUGUCACAUAGUCUGCUCUGAGAAAAGAGCCAAGUUCAGGGCAGAGACUACCUUCCUGGGUACCCCCCAAGAAGGAGUCUUGAUCACUUCUCUAAACAUGCCCUGGAUGUUCCCAGAGCUCAUGAAAACGCUGCUCUCCAGUGGUGCUAGCAGCUCUGAUGAAGGCUAAGUCCAAGCUCUGAAUUCAGGAGAGCAGAGCUGCCUCCUGCUCCCACCACCGUGGUUCUCAGGCAGUAAUGAAAAAUCUUCAUGGAGUGGCAAAAGUUGUUUACCUGAAGCUCACAAGAUGUAUCCAGAAAAUAUCACCAGGGAUCAGAUCAAGCCUGACCCCCAUUUUACAUCUUCUGUAACCAGAAGCACUCCAAGAACAACACUUUCAUUCAUGGACUUAACAACUACAUUAGAUCAUACCAGCCUGUCACUUCAAAGUCACCAGUGUCAAGGAACAUUUCAAAUUGGCUUAAAGCAUUGUUUUGGAGGUGUGAAUAAUGAAGCCAAGGACAUUAGCAACAUCAUGAAAGCAGGCAUCAAGUGAAUAGAGAAGAUUCUAUGGAUGUAGAAGAGGUCCCUGGGUUUCCGAAUUGCCACUGGAUUGCCUCUAUCAAAUACACAAGAGUUUCAUGAGUGAGAAAUAACCUUCUGUUGCUUUAAAUCUUGGGUUGUGCAAUACAUCAGUGAGCCUACCAUGACUAAUACAUUCUAUGGAUGCAGAUUUCUCUUCUCUGGCCAUUGACAUGAGUGUGCUUUCUGGAUGCAGUCACAGGGGACCCAAGAUUCUUGGACAGAAUUCUCGCCGGGAGCCAACUCAGCCUGAUCUGCUGGCAUCUCUCAAGUAUCAGAAGUCAACAAAAUGGUUUGCCUUGAAGACUUGGCCAGAGCAGCAGCCAAAGUUCAUAAGGCUUUCGUAGAGAGAUUGUUUGUCUAAGAAAACAAAAUUCUAAGGGCUCCCAUUGUGCAGCUGGGGUGGCAAAAUGCAAACUAAUAUAAGGAAAAAAAAUGCUUUUCAUUUCCAUGGAAGAAAUGACCCAUCCUAUUGUUGAUAUUUCCUUUUCUGUGCUAACUUAUUCCAUUAAUUAGGCUCUCGUUUUAUGAGAUAAUUUCACUGCAUGCGUAUCUUCUUUUGGUUAUUACACAAGGACUGUUUUCUAUGGUUCAUAUCUAAGUCCAACCCUGGAAAAAUCUUUUUUUUUGAGACAGCCUUUUUUGUUUUGUUUUGAGACAAUACUCCCUCUGUUGCCCAGGCUGGAAUGCAGUGGUGAGAUCAUAGCUCACUGCAACUUCUGCCUCCUAGGCUCAAAAAAUCCUCCCACCUCAGCCUCCCAAGUAGCUGGGAUUGCAGGCAUAUGCCAUCACACCCGGCUAAUUUUUGGAUUUUUAGUAAAGUUUUGCCAUGUUGGCCAGGCUGAUCUUGAACUCCUGCCCUCAAGUGAUCUGCCCACCUUGACCUCCCAAAGUGCUGGGAUUACAGGUGUGAGCUACUGUGCUCAGCUCAGCCAUGGAACAAUCUUGAUGUAUAAUUUAUCUGCAGGUAUCUCCAUCUCUAUUUGCCACUCUUAGUAAAUGUUUUAGUUUGACAGUAAACGAGUUGAGACAUUAAUGAUUGAGAGAGCACCUAAGCAGCUCGAAGUGCUGGGAGUCUCUCCUAAAGAAUUAGAUGCACACAGCAUUUUUCCCUUACAGACACUUCACUGAGCAGUCAUGUUGGACUUGGGUGGCGUCUGCUAUUAGACACACUAUUCACCAAUAAAACCCUGAAAAUUGCAUUGCACAGGACUGAUAAAAAUAAGAUGACUUAAGAAACGUAUUUAUGGUAUAUAUACACAGAAAAAGAAUGAAAGUUUGAGGGGGUAUUGCCUCUGGGAGGAAGAGUUAUGAGUAGUUUGUAUUUCCUUUUUUGUUAAUCUGUAUUUCAUUUUUUAGGCAAUGCAAAUAUAUUAUUUAGACAACAAAAUACUUAUUAGAAAGAAAAGACAUGGUGGGUUUUUUCCCCUUUAUUCUUUGCUUUUCUAAGAGGAAACUUUGACUGCAAUUGCUUGUGAGUGAUACCUGUGUUCUGGUAGCUUAGGAAGACACAAUGUGGUUAGGGAAGGAUAAGAACAGAUGGCUUUAAUAAAUGUACUCAAGGCUAAUGUACCCUUCAUAGUCUCAGGCUUCAGAUCAGAUCUCUUAUCUAUGCUGGCACCAGGAUGUGGUUUUGAGUUCUCUGCUUUUUCUACAGCUUUAGGGAAAUCUGCAUGCAGGCACAUCUAAUUGUCCAAACCAAAAAUCACAUCCAGGAUGUGAGGCAGCCUGGGAGAGGUCAUUUUGAGUUCUGUAGUCUCCGAAGUAUAAAAACACAUAAACAUGUAUACAUACACACAUUAACACCCACACACUUUUGAAGGAAGAUGGAAUGGAAGACAAGCACCACAGUGAAACUUUAGAAGAAUUUCCCUUACAUUCAGGAAAAAAAGAUAGAGGGUCCAUUUUCAUCACUCUUAUUGCCAUUGUCUAGAAGAUAAGCCGUAAUAAGAUAAAAUAAAAAGUGUAUAGAACACUUGGAAAAAAAUAUAAAAGAUUGGUCCCAUUCUCCGAUGGCAUGAUAUUCAAAUGAAGAACCAACUAUAAACAGGUUGUUAUGAGCUGAAUGUUAAUGUGACCCCAAAAUUCAUAUGCUGAAAUCUUAACCCCAAAGGUGAUAGUGUUAGAUGGUGAGGCUUUUAGGAGUUGACACAGUGUAAUGCCUCUUCUAUGAAGAAGUGGGCCUUUGUCAGUUACCAAAUCUGCAGAGGCCUUGAUCUUGAACUUCCCAGCCUCCAGAGCUUGGAGGAAUGAAUGUUUAUUGUUUGUAAACCACCCAGUUUAUGGUAUUUUAUUAGAGCUGCUCAAAGGGUCUAAGACACAAGUAUAAGUCAUAAGUAAAUGCAUCAAAUUUGCUGAAUAUAAAUCAACAUAUAAAAAAUCAACAGCAUGCUUGGAUCCCUGGUAUGAAUCACAUCUGGUCAUGGCAAAUAAUCUAAAAAAAAAUAAUAAAAUAAUCAAUUUAAAAAAUUUAAAAAGCAACAGUAUUUACUAUUCAUUGCCAAUGACCAAUUAGAAAAUGGCAUAAACAUGACAUCUGUGAUAAGACAAAUACUCUAAGGUAACUAGAACUACAAGUAAUAAAAGAUGUGUACAGUUUACAGAGACGAUUGUAGAAAGCCAAAAAAAAUUAAAAGUGAAAACCUAAAUGGGAAGAAGCAUCAUGUAUAUUGGGUCAUAGUAGAUAUCAUAAUAUAAAUUAUAAAAUACAGAACAAAAUGAUAUAAAAUACUAAAUUUCAAAAUGUGUUGGAUAUAGCUAAAGCAGCACUAAAGAGGAAUUUAUAGGUUUAAAUACACGUAUUGGGGGAGGAAAGAGAUAAAGUUUGAUAUGGCGGUAAGCAUCCACUUAGGGAAAAGUACAAAAAGAAAAUAAUAGUAGAAAGUAAUAAAAUAGAAAAUAUAAAAGAGGUUUUUUAAAAAAUACUUACAAAAUGGACAGUCUUUAUGGGGAUUGAACAAGAACAAAGAAAGAAGGCACUGAUAACCAAUGUCAAGGAUAUGGAAGUGGAUAUGUGGAUAUAACUAAAAUGCUGCAGUUAUUCGAGAUAAGAGUAUUAUAAGUAACUGUAAGAUAACACAUUUAAAAACUUGGUCGAAAUGGUCAAAUUUGUAGAAAAGUAUAUCUCAACAAAACUGAUUCAAGAAAAAUAACCCAUUAAAAAAUAAAUCAGCAGUUACCUUUUAUUUAUUUAUUUUUGACAAGAAAAUAUCAAAUGGUUUUACUGGCAAGAUCUGCCAAAUAUUCAAGAAACAAGUAAUUUCAAUUUUGGACAGAAUUUUCCAGAGAAGAGAAAAUGGGAAGAGGGUUGUUCCUCAUUUUAUGAAGCUAGUAUACACAUCAGUGCCAACAUUUGACAAGGGAAGUUUGAAAAAGGAAAAUCACCGACUAAUCUCUCCCAUGAGCAGAGACUUAAAAAAUUCUAAACAAAAUAUUUGCCAACCAAAUCCGAAUAUAGAAAGGAUUGUACACCAUGAUCAAGUUGAGCUCAUCCUAGGAAUGUUUCCUUUAUGGUAACAUUCGGGAAAGCAAAAUACAUGGGUGCACAUGCAAGAGGUAGGAGAUUGAGACUGGGAGUCUGUAGAACUUCUGAUUUCAUCCAUUUUUUGCAAGUGAAUUAGAUUUUCUUUAAAAAGGUUAUUGGGUGAAGGCGCAGAUAGAGGAGCAGGUCUUGGAGAUUUAAGGGGAAAGGAAGUAUGAUACAGUCUUCUAGAAGACUGGAAGAGUAAAUGGAAUAUAGCGUGAUUGCAUUGGGGCUCCUCUGAGCUUUAUGGGCAUGAAUUUAAAGAUUAUUUGAGGCCCUGGUUUGUGCAGUAAGAAAAAUUUUGUUUAGGGAUUAGGAAGGAAGAAAUAAAACUAAAAAUCUCCCAUUAUUCACAGAUGACAUGAUGAUUCUUAUAGAAAACCCAAAAGAUAUUACUACAUCAAUAUAGAAAACUCAAUUACAUUUCUUUAUUUUUCUUUUUCUUUUCUUUUUUUUUUUUUUUUGCUUUAAGUUCUAGGAUACAUGUGCAGAACGUGCGGGUUUGUUACAUAGGUAUACAUGUGCCACGGUGGUUUCCUGCACCUAUCAACCCGUCAUCUAGGUUUUAAGCCCAGAAUGCAUUAGGUAUUUGUCCUAAAACUCUCCCUCCCCUUCCCCUACUCCCCCCAACAGGCCCUGGUAUGUGAUGUUACCCUCCCUGUGUCCCUGUGUUCUCAAUGUUCAACUCCUACUUAUGAGUGAGAACAUGCGGUGUUUGGUUUUCUGUUUCUGUGUUAGUUUGCUGAGGAUGAUGGUUUCCAGCUUCAGCCAUGUCGCUGCAAAGGACAUUAACUCAUUCGUUUUUCUGGCUGCAUAGUAUUCCAUGGUGUGUAGGCGCCACGUUUUCUUUAUCCAGUCUGUCAUUGAUGGGCAUUUGGGUUGGUUCCAAGUCUUUGCUAUUGCAAAUAGUGCUGCAAUAAACAUAUGUGUGCAUGUGUCUUUAUAGAAUGAUUUAUAAUGCUUUGGGUAUAUACCCAGUAAUGGGAUUGCUGGGUCAAAUGGUAUUUCUGGUUCUAGAUCCUUGAGGAAUCACCACACUUUCUUCCAUAAUGGUUGAACGAAUUUACACUCCCACCAACCAUGUAAAAGCAUUCCUAUUUCUCCAUGUCCUCACCAGCAUCUGUUGUUUCCAGACUUUUAAAUGAUCAUCAUUCUUACUGGCAUGAUAUGGUAUCUCAUUGUGAUUUUGAUUUGCAUUCCUCUAAUGGCCAGUGAUGAGUUUUUCUUAUGUUUUCUGGCCGCAUAAAUGUCUUCUUUUGAGAAGUGUCUGUUCAUAUCAUUCACCCACUUUUUAAUGGUUUUUUUCUUGUAAAUUUAAGUUCCUUGUAGAUUCUGGAUAUUAGACCUUUGUCAGAUGGAUAGAUCGCAAAAAUUUUCUCCAAUUCUGUAGGUUGCGUGUUCACUCUGAUGAUAGUUUCUUUUGCUGCGCAGAAGCUCUUCAGUUUAAUUAGAUCCCAUGUGCCAAUUUUGGCAUUUUUUGAAAAUGCUUUUGGUGUUUUAGUCAUGAAGUCUUUGCCCAUGCCUAUGUCCUGAAUGGUAUUGCCUAGGUUUUCUUCUAGGGUUUUUAUGGUUUUAGGUUUUAUGUUUAAGUGUAAGGAGGGAUACAUUUAAGCCAAAAAGGACAGUCUACAUCUCUGCUUAUUGUCCCAAGGCAGCAGAAAUACAAUUCAUAGAUCCCAACACUUAGCCUUCCCCACCCUAGUCACACAGCAUCCCUCAGCCUGCCAAGGGAAUUGGUUCUGCAGACACGAGGGAUUUGCCCGGGGAUAAAGACCCCUUCUGGUUCAGACAUCAGGAGAUACAAAUGCAAUACACCACAGCUGACACAACUGGACAUCUUCAGUGUUGCAGUCUCACCCUAUCUCUCUGCUUGCCAGCUCCAGCUCAUCGGGCCAGUUAUGAGAAGGAAAACAUAUUUUCUAAAAGCUUUCUUAAGUGUUCACAUGGCCAGCUGCCCUUGUUUGUUCUCCUGAGUACUGAGGUCACUGGAAGCCACAAAACCCAGCUGGGACCACUUCAAUGAGUUAUGCUCCAGGGAAAAUUAUGGUGUGAAAAGGUAAAAGGAAAUUUUGGAAACUGGUGGAAUCUUCAUGGAAGUGUCACCCUGGGCUAAUACCAAGGAUCUGACAUAGACAAAAGUAUGAAUUACUCUGCAGGCUCAGCGCCAAGGGCAAGGUCGUAAGAGCCUGAGAUGGUCUUAACAAAUUAAGUGAGGCAGGCAAAGUUCAGUUGCUUACUGUGAGCUGGACCCUUCUACAUUAUUAUUUUUAUCAUGGAGUCCAAUGUCCCCAUGUUGAUCCUAACAAGCCAAGUCCCACAUUGCAUCAUCCCACAUGGGCCGGCCUUCUCUGGGCAAAACUUCAAGAUGUGAAACUCCUUUUUUCUCCUCUCAAAAUGUGCCAGUCCUGAGUCUCCUGUAUUGGGUUCAUUAAUGUUAACAUACUUUUUCUGGUCUGCUACAAUGAUCCAGGCACUGCACUAUAGUCCAAAGGCACAAAACAAUAAAUUAGACUUGCCCCUUGUUCUCAGGACUGAAAAUGGUUCCAUUCACCAAAAAAACAGGUGAAAGUUUACCCAGCACCUAAACCUGUACUAAUGUAUUAAUUAAUGCAUCACAGUUUAUUUAUUCUACACUUAUUUUACUUGCCCCUGUAAUAUACCACUAGAUGCUUCAGUAUGGGAGAUAUUGAACUCUAAAGUUCUAAGGGUGCUGUGGUGGAGAUAUGGACAUAUCUCAAAAUUAGCAGGAAAUUUAAAUAGCGAUUUUAAGAGAAAGUAAGAUCUGGUUAUGAGAAAGGAUGAAGCUACUCUGGGUGAGAGAAAACUGAGAACUAUGCCCUAGGAAUAUCCAACAUUUAAAGUGUAAACAAAGAAAGUAAAGACAGAGAUGACAACUGAGAAAGAGUGGUAGUCACAGGAGACUCAAGUGAGUGUAGCUGGAAGAUGUCAUCAGAACCCUAGUUAAUAACAUGUGGUCUACCAUUGCUACAAUACAAUGCCCUCCAGCCAUCUCAGGCAGGUGGGCCUUUACUUUCCUCAAAUUACAUUCACAGAUGAACAACCCAUGCUCUAUGAAGGAGUCGGGCCUGCAUACUAUCCUUCCCAAUGAGGGAGAUGUGACAGUUCAGGAUUCAGGAAAGGACCAAAUGGACUCACCAGGCAAGUGUGCUUUAGGAUGGAGGGCAGGGUUGGCUCUGUGCCAGGAGUGUAGAUUUCAUCUGUUGGCUGCAAAUGUGUGCCAGUUCCCAAUGGAAUGCUACUGUUCUCUGACCUGCCCUCAACUCAUAACACAAGUCACAAUUCACUGGAGUUUCACAGUACGUUUCUGUGGAUGUUUGGAAUCAGAAAUGCAGACUCACAGAAUAGCUGUAUAGGAUUUAAAGAGAAUCGGCAGAGUUCAGGCUGCUCAUUUUACAGAGGAGGAGGCUGAGUCUGAAGACUUACUAAUUUGGCCAGGGUUGCAUGGCAGUUUAGCAGAGUAGUUAAACAAAUGGGCUUGAAACUCAAAGAGUCCCUGAGAAUCUUAAAUUGUGUGCCUUAGGCAAGUCUGCUAAAACUGCUAUGUCUCAGUUAACUCCUCUUAAAACUGAGUAAGAAUAACAUAUAUAUAUAUAUAUCAUAUAUUAUGAUACAUGAUAUAUACAUAAUUCAUGUAUUAUAUCAUGAUACAUGAUAUAUAUGUAUUAUUCAUGUAUAUGAUACAUGAUACAUAUAUCAUGUAACCUAUGAUAUAUAUCAUAUAUGAAGAUUAUAUAUAUAUCUCAGAGGUUAUUUGUAAGAGAUGAGAUAGUGAAUUCAAAGCACUUAGCAUGACAGCUAGCAUAUGGUGACACAGCUAUCAUGCAAAGCCAAGUCUUCUGACUCGUACUUUAGUGCUCUUUCCUCUGAACCAUGAUCCCUCCUUUAAAUAGAGAAGUUAAAAAUGAACUUACAGAGACAUUCUAUGUGUACCAACCCAACACUAUAGCACUUGAUUUAUGCAUUCAUUUUUAUAACAACUAUCAUUUGAGCAUCUAUGUACCAGGGUGCUGAUGUAACCAUGCUGAGUGCUGAGGUACUCAUGCUGAAUCAGAUGUGAUCUCUUCCCACUAAGGAGAGAGAAGAUUGUGCCUAUGGUAGCCAGGAAUGAGGUGCACUUGCAAGGAGUAGGGAGGAGUGGGGAGAGUCUAGAGGCAAGGAGAUGAGAUAGAAAGUUCUUGCCCUAAUUUAGGCAAGAGGCAGCAGGGUCCUGAAUUACCUUGGAGAAAAUGGAAAUUAGGGGAAAGGACAAAGAAAUGAGGUAGGAACAUGAGACUUACCCUUGACACAUGAUUAUUAUGUUUAUGAAAUAUUUGUUUUUGUGUUUCUGACAAGCAAUUUGCCUCCAGAAUUGCCAAAUGAGUCUGGUUGUUACUCCAGACUCAAGGUAACAUCUGCUUAUUGCUAGUGCAUAGACCAGGGCAGGUGAUGGGCUUUAGGCCUCUUAUCUAGCGUCUUACACAAAAUUGCAAGUAGACCCAGAAUUACUAGUGCCAGGGCUGCAGAAAUAGGAACUGUUUAGCCAGGUCUAUGACCAUCUGUUUUCCCUCCUGCCAAAUGCAUCGAGGGCAUGAUAGAUCUGGCUUAGAUGGUAACAAAGUGAGAGCAGAGUUGAGCAAAUAGACAAAUGUUUAUCUUUUGCAGGAAUGUGCACUUGGCUCUGGGGAUUGUAGCUGUCCAUCAGCAUCCACACUGGAUGAAACUGCUGAAGGAAGGGGCUCCGAAAACACCCACUUUCCUCAGCCUCUGCGGCCUUAACUCCAUGUGCCAGCAGGUCAGGCUAACAGGCUGUGGUGCUAAAGGCAUCAGGCAGACAUAUCUACUGGCCCAUUAAGAUUCUGUACCUAAACACUACCCACCCCGCCCACCCUGCCCCAGUGAUGGCCCUGCCUUUCCUGCCAGGCCUGCUCUCCUCCCCAAGAAAGGGAAAAUGGUUAGCAACUUUCAGAAACUAAAACAAACACAAAAGUUUGCCAACAUUAAACUCUGCUUCACAGCUAAAUGGACCAUAAACUUUCAGCACCUUGAACAAAACUUCAAUUCAAUCCCUUCUACAGGUGCUGUGGGCACAAAGACUGCACAGUGUAUUUUUGCCCUGGGAAAGAGUCUCAAAUUAUUAUUUUUGUAAAAAAAAAAAAAAAAAGAAAAGAAAAAGUUGCCUGGAAAAAAGUUUCAUUUUGUGCUUAGAAAAACAAGCCAAGAGGCAACGCACACCCCCUUUCUCUCCAUUCUCACUUCCCUGCACUCUCACGAGAAGAUUCCAGCCCACCUUGAAACCCAGCAUGGAUACUAGAGAAGACAUCUUUUUCUCCAGUUUUCAAAUAAGCCUCCAGGAUGAGGCACACGCAGACCUUUCCUGCUAGCCUGUAAUUCACCACCUUCUAAAAGGACCAGGUCAUGAUACAAAUGAAAGCAAUGAAAAGCACAGGCCUGCAUGCCCAAGGUCUGAGUCUUGCUCCCUGUCAUCUUCGGUGUGACCUUAGCGUGUCACUUGACCUCUCAGGUCUCACAUUUAGCAUCCAGACAACUCAGGACUUAAGUUCUCUUACAGCUCUAAAAUUCUGUAUGGGAAUGACAUCAAUAAAGUAAUAUAAUUUUUUGUUCAAACCAGCAAAGAUGUGCAAAUACAAGGGGUAGUGAAUAGCAAUUAUGCCUGGCAUCCAGCAGAACUGUGCUGGGAACCAAGACCUGUGGUUCUGAGGGCUGUCCAGAGAGCGCCACGGCCAUUCGCGUGCUAAACCUUUGCAACCUGAGCCCAGUAACAGGAACACAGAACAUUCUCCAGGAGUCUGGGGCCUUGCCUCCAUUCUCCAGCUGCUCCUCUCCCAUUGUUUUCCCUCUCUACACGACUGCCCUUUCUUGGGCUCCCCAUGCUCUAAGUUAAGUUGGCAGCAUGGCAGAGAUUGAGAGCACAGAUUCUGGUCUCAGACUGCAUGGGCUCAAAUUACAGCUUCAUAAUUUACCACAUGAUCUUGGGCAAGUUACUUAAACUCAAAGAUAGACUUUUCAAACAUUUUUUCACUGCAAUCCACAGUAAGAAAUAUAUUUAACAUAAAUAAUACUCUACGUGUGUGCACACACACACACAUACUCACAUAAAUUAAAAGAUUAAUAAAAAAUAAUUAUUUUUGAUAUUUUGUGAGCACCAUUUGAUUGGUCCUAUUCUAUGUAAAUUUCUAUAAAUGCUAGUCAUAAUCCAGCAAAUUGAUUUCAUGGUCUACUAAUGGUUUCAGACCCACAAUUUGAAAAACCCUGUUCUAAGCUUUAGUUUUCUCAUCUGUAAAAUGAAGAUAAUAUAAAUAAUAUCCUCUCUGUGGAGUUGUUAUGAAGAUGACUAAAAUGUUCAUAUAAAAGCGUUUGGCCACAGUGCAGGGUGGCUCACGCCUGUAAUCCCAGCACUUCGGGAAGUCAAGGCAGGCAGAUCACAUGAGGCCAGUAGCUCAAGACCAGCCUAGUCAACAUGUUGAAACCCUGUCUCUACAAAAAGUACAAAAAUUAGCCCAGCAUGGUGGUGCACACCUGUAGUCCCAGCUACUCAGGAGGCUGAGGCAGGAGAAUCACUUGAACCCGGGAGGUGGAGGUUGCAGUGAGCCAAGAUGGCACCACUGCAUUCCAUCCUGGGCAACAGAGUGAGACUCUGUGUCAAAAACAAACAAACAAACAAACAAAAGGUUUAGCUUGGAAGGUAAUAAGUGCUCAGUGAAUAUUAGUGUUAUUAUUACUCAAGGAAGGGCAUCAGUGUGAAAUAAAUCUUAUACUUCAAGUCCAAAAGGGAAGCUCCCAGUAAUCAUGCCCUUCAUGAACCUGUACAUGAAUCAAAUGGCUUUUCCCAUUGGGCAUGCAUGCCAUGCCAUCAAGCAAGUCAGAAUUUAAGCUUCUGUGCAGGUCAGUGAAGACAUGGUGCUUGCCACUGCAGCAGCAGCCAUCUUGCACACAUGAGGUGCCACACCUGAGGAAGGAAGAACAAAGCAAUGGAAAGACCAGUGUUUUGGUAUUACUGAGUUGCUGAACCAAUCCUGGAACUGGAUCUCAGGCUUUUUAUUUAAAUCAAUAAAAUCUCCUGAUGUUUAAAAGGCAAUUUUAUGCAAACCAGCUCAUUACCUCCUACAGUGUCCCUUCCCUCACCAACAGGAAGUGGCUCCACAUUUCAAUUGCCUUUUUGCCCUUGAGAAUCAGCAUUCCCUAAACCACCACUAUUAAAUUUGGGACUCUGAAACCACAGAAAUACCCUACAGUAGGAAAUCCCCCUUGGGUGCCUAGACUCUCUAUCACCUUUGCAAAGCUUUUAAGUAAAAAAGGAAAACCUCAGGCUUCCCACUUAGCCAUGGAAAGUGGUACCACCUUCAGAGGAAAGAUGGGGGAUUCAGGAGCACCACCUCCAAUUUUAGGAGGUGCCCCUGAUUUCCUCAAAUACUGACAGGUAAUUUAACCUAAACAAUGGAGAGGAGCCCUGCUUCAAGAUGCAGUGCUAGGCUCACCCUGACCAGCACUUGGUAGAUAAGAAAGAGAAAACAACUUACAAAUUCUUCAGUGAUGCUUGGCUCAGUACUUAGCUCGCUGGCUGGCUGACUUUGCAACUACUUCUAGUUAAGGGUUCCAAAGGACUGGAAGGUAAAUAACCAGCAAGGUGUCGUAACACUGAGACAGAGUGAAAUAUUAUUUCCACCCUCUCGUGACCUCGGUGGCCAUUUUCCAGCUCUAGGGCCAGUCUGCACAUGACGAUGAGUGGUAUCUGAUGGCUGGUCCUGGCAUGAAGUGUGAGGGAAUGCCAGUUUAGGACUUGAACCUUCCAUCUCCCACUGAUUCCAGUCAGAGUAAUCCAAACCUAGUCUGUCUUUUCUUUCCCUUAUGCUGCAAACUUUCCCCUGUUUUAGUCAAAAUACACCAGCUUAGUAAUUCUGGCUGCCACAGACUGAAUUUUGAGCCUCACCAGUUUCCAAAUAAUUAAGACAGAGAAAGUGAGUUAAAUAAAAUAUGGCCAGAUUAAAUAAACAAUUCGGUACUUUAGGAGAAGAAUUCAGGCUGGGUCUAAGAUAGGCGCCUAGCGCAGGGCUCUGCAGCAGACAUAAGGAAGUCUUAAGUUGGUUUUCAAUAGGUGUACCUAAGGGUGCAUUUGAUAACAACAACAAAAAGAGAGAUGGAAGCAAAUAUUUAACAAGCACCUAUUAUCUAUCAGGCACUACAUAUACAUUCUCUCAUUUUCUUCUUACAAAGUACACGUAUCCUAGCAAUUAUUUCCAUUUUAAAAAACUGAAAAUGAAAAAUUACUUGCUCAAGAUCAUAAAGCAAGUAAACAUUAGAAUUAGGAUUUAACCCUAGGCCCUUCUUGUGCAGGAGUCAUGCUCUUUCAAGCACACUGUGCUGUCCCCCGGGAAGAGUGAGGGUUAUCAGGAAAAGCAGUGGAAUGGCAGAAAAGAAGAAGGGGAAGGAUUUUAAAACAGGGAAAAGAAAGGACAGAAAUACAUAAAAAUAAGAAAUGGGAACAGGAAGGACUGCAAAGAUUAAGGAAGAACGGUUGGUGAGUACCUUGGCUAUUUAGUGGAAUUUGGUGAUUCAGAACUGGGAAUGGACAGUAAGCCCCUUCAAAUACCCUGGGGAAGCCAAGAUUGUCAUGGAGCUGUUCUUUUCUCUAUCUCAAGUACAAAUGUCUCAAAGAACUCUAAAAGCUACUUAAAGCAAGAGCAAGGAACUCAAACUAAGUUCUUAUUGAGUGGUGGCCAAAAAACAAGCUGGACGAGUUUCCAGAUGAUACUGCCGGGAUGAUUCUUUUAGCUGACAGUUACCAAAAAGGAAGGCUUUCAGGACAUGUCAAUAGCAGAUCUUACGCCUUCUCUGACCUCGGCCUUCCUCAGAGUCUUUUAGCUGUAAUGAGCAAAUAUUAGCAUAAGAGACAGGGACCAAAUAUUUGUUUAGUGUCUGUGUUGAUUAUUAAGCUGUUGCCUGUAAACUCCACACUCACCCUUCAUUCUCAGCUUUGUGUUGCUGGGGCUGGGCCUCUGUAAUCACAUUUCAGCUUUGCCAGAGGGAUUUCUCUUAGGCUGCCAGUAGUGGGGCACUAGAGGGAGUCUGGAGGCAGUGGGGAAGAAGGGAUUUGUUCCUUCUGUUUUUUUGCUGGUCCUGUCAGUAUCAUCCCAGCAGCCCUUAGCUCCAGUUUGCAGUUAUUUUCCUCACUACAAGAACACACUCCCUCAGUGAUAGCGUCUGUCAACCAGAACCUCCUCCCCAGAUAUUGAGUCCCUGUUUUGAGGGUCCCUGCUCUGAGUCUCCAACGCACCUGCCUCCACCAGGCAGCACCCCUCCCUCCUGGUCCAGUUUCCAGCUCUGCAGGGCCCUCCUCCAAGCUUCCAGAUCCCAGGCACCUGACGCAUCCCUUUUGUUCUCUCAGCCCUAGGGGUAGCGAUUGCUUCCUGCAGUUGCUAGCUCCGUGACCCUCCAGUGGUCCUCCUCCUCACUUUCAGUGCUUCAAUUCCUUAUAUUAAGUAUUCUUUAUUAGGAAAACUGAUGGGUGUCUGUUUUCUGGACUGGCCUUUACCUGAUUUGUUAUCACUUCUGUCUACGUCCAGGACAAUAUUGAGCAAUAUUCUGAGGCUAUACUGUGUUAAAAGGAAACUUCAGACAAAUUAAAUUUAACAGAGUUUAACUGAGCAAGAAAAAAAAAUUCAUAAAUUGGGCAGCCUCCAGAAUCACAACAGAUUCAGAGAGAGUCCAGGGAUGCCUUAUGGUCAGAACAAAUUUAUAGACAACAAAAGGGAAGUGACGUGCAGAAAUCAGAAGUGAGGUACAGAAACAGCUGGACUGAUUACAGCUCAACAUUUGCCUUUUUUGAACAAAUCUGAACACUCAGCAGUGUAUGAGUGGUUGACGUAUGGCUGCUGUGAUUGGCCAGACCUCAGCUAUUGUUACAGGCACAUACUCUUAAGUCAGGUUUUCAAUCCUAUCUGACUAUAAAGUUAGGUUACAGUUUGUCCUCAUGGACUCAAAUUUAGAAGUAUGGCGUCCUUCUCAGGCCAUAUUUAGUUCAGUUUAACAAGUGCAUAUGGCUUCUGACAAAGGUGUGGCCCCUUUAGGACUCCAAAGACGCUGUCACUUACAUGGUAUUCAGGGAGGACACAGAGGAUCUGUGAGCAGCCUGCAGCCAAGCUUUGAGAUCAUAUUGAGAUUUUUUUGUAAUAUAUGAGGAGUGUUCUGGCUCCUUUUAUUACUUUCUUCAUAGCAAAAAUUGGGGGUCCAAGUUGUCGUUAAAUUGAAACUCUCUCACUUACCCUGAAAAAGAUUUGACUGUGAGCAUAACAUUGUUACUUCAUUCAAGACAUGGAAGCAAAAGGGUUAAUUAGUGCUGCUCACAAAAUAGUUCUACUUUUUCUUCUUCCAAUUAUAUGAUUGGAUAACCCUUCCCUCCCUUGAAGUCAGGGUUGCCAUGUGGCUUACUUUGGUCAAUAGAAUAUGAUUGAGAGCAAUACUGUGGUACAUCCAUACAGUGGAAUAUUAUCCAGUGAUAAAAAAAAAAAAAAAAAGGAAAGAAAGAAAGCCACAAAAAGACAUGGAAGAGAGCCAAGCGCAGCGGCUCAUGCAUGUAAUCCCAGCACUUUGCGAGGCUGAAGUGAGUGGAUCACUUGAGCUCAGGAGUUCAAGACCAGCCUGAGCAACAUGGCAAAACCCCAUCUCUAAAAAAAAAUACAAAAAAAUUUUAGCUCAGUGUGACUCUGUGUGCCUGUAGUCCCAGCUACUGGGGAGGCUAAGGUGGAAGGAUCACUUGAGCUCAGGAGGUCAAGGCUGCACAAAGCUGCAAUGAGCAGAAAUCAUGCUUGGGCAACAGAGAGAGACCCUGUCUCAAAAUAUGUUAAUGAGAGAGAACUCUGGGCAAGGGGGUGGAGGGGCAGAGGAGGAGUGUGGGGAAGGGGAAGGAGUGCAUACCUGGAAACUCUACUUUCUGCAUAAUUUUUCUAUAAACCUGAAAUUGCUCUAAAAAGUAAAGUCUAUUUAAAAAUAAUAAAUAAGAAAGAAAUAUGAAUAUCACUUGUGUCACUUUUGUGUCAAAGCAUUAACGGCCAGCACAUGAUUUGCCUUGCCACUCCCUUCCUCUUGGUCUGUAGUCCAAUGCUCUACCUCUGAGCUAUACCCCUUCCUUGCCACUCCCUUCCUAAAGAUAAGCCUCCCUCAUUGGAUUAGAAUUCUCCGGAGAGACAGAGACAAUAAGAUAUAUAUAGAGAGAGAUGGAGAGAUAGAGAUAGGAAUUAUCACAGGAUUAUGGAGGCUGAGAAGUCCCGCAAUAAGCCAUCUAUAAGCUAGAGAACCAGGGAAGCCAGUAAUAUGAGUCAGUCUAAGCCUUAAGGCUUCAAAACCAGAGAUGUCAAUAGCAUAACUUUCACCACAAGACUGAAGGUCACAAGGCUGAAUGCCUGAGAAACUGGGGGGUCACUAAUCCAAGCCCCAGAUUCGAAAGGCUGGAUAGAGAACCUGGGGUUCUGAUGUCCAAGGGCAGGAGAAUAAGGGUGUCCCAGCUCCAGAAGGGAGUGAGCAAAUUCACCUUUCCUCUGGCUUUUUGUUCUAGUAGGACCUGAGCCAUAUGGACGAUGCCUGUCCACAUUGGGUGAGGCCACAUCUUCCUCACUCAGUCCACUGAUUCAAAUGCCAAUCUCUUUUGGAAACACCCUUAUAGACAUGCCCAGAAGUAAUGCUUUAUCAGCUAUCUGGGUACCACUUAAUCUGGUCAAGUUGACACCUAAAAUUAAUUAUCAUCACAACUCAUUCUGGUUCUGUUAGUGAGAAUAAUCAAGAAUGCAUCCCUAGCUCGUCACUUCCAAUGAGCCAGUCUUCAGUGGACAUGCACCCUGAGUGGAAAAAAAGUAAAAACUGUUUCUAUUGUUGUUUUAAACAACUUAGAUUCAGAGAUUAUUUGUUAUUGCAGGAUAACCUAGCUUAUCCUGACUAAUACAGAGAGAGGAAGUCCUCCUUUAAUCUCCAACAGAAAUAUUAAACAGCAAUCAAUCACACAAUAUUGGUUAAAAAAACAAAGAUAAUAAUCAUUGUUAUUAUUUUCAUUAUUUCUGGAAAUAAAUUUAAAACUAUUGAAAAAACUUACUUUUAAAAUUCUCAACAUCACUAAUCAUCCAGGAAAUGCAAAUCAAAACCACAAUGAGAUGUCAUCUCACCUCAGUUAAAGUGGCUAUUAUCAAAAAGACAGAACAUAGCAGUUGCUGAUGAGGAUACAGAGAAGGGGAAGUUCUCCUACACUGUUCAUGGGAAUGUAGAUUAGUAUGGAAGUCCAUCAGAAAACUAAAAAUAGAACUACCAUAUGAUCCAGCAAUCCUACUGCUAGGGAUGUAACCAAAAGAAAGGCAAUCAGCAUAUAAAAGAGAUAUCUGCACCUCUUUGUUUAUUGCAGCACUAUUCACAAUAGCCAGAUUAUAGAAUCAACAUAUGUGCCCAUCAACAGAUGAAUGGACAAAGAAAAUGUGGUAUAUAUUCACAAUGGAAUAUUCAUUCAUAAAAAAAUUAAAAUCCCAUCAUUUGAAGCAACAUGGAUGUAACUGGAGGAUAUGAUGUUAAAUGAAAUAAGCCAUGCACAGAAAGACAAAUAUCACAUGUUCUCACUCAUAUGUGGGAGCUAAAAAGGCUAAACUUAUGGAGGUGGGGAGUAGAAUGGUGAUUACCAGAGGUUGGGAAGUGUUGAAGUCAGAGAGGAAGAGAACUUGGUUAAUGGGUACAAAAAUACAGUUAGAAAGAAGGAAUAAGUUCUAGUGUUCACAGUAGAACAAACAUAAUUAAUAAGAAUUUAUAGUAUAUUUCAAAAUAGCUGCAAGAAAAGCAUUAUAAUGUUCCCAACACGAAGAAAUGGUAACCGUUUCAGGUGAUGGCUAUCCCAACUACCCUAAUUUUAUAAUUAUACAUUAUAGGUAUGUAUCAAAAGAUCCCAUGUACUCCACAAAUAUGUACAACUAUUAUGUAUCAAUAAAGACAGAAAAAACAUUAUAUAUAAUUACAUAAUACAGACAUAAUGAAUAUGAAUCAACUCUUAGUAUAUAUGAGGAAGAAGUGCUUGAAAAAUUUCUGUAAUUUUAAUCAUUAAAAACCUAGUCUCCAGAAUUAAAUUUUAUUCACUUAAUCAAGUCUUGUUUCAGGAGAGAGAGACAGAUAUAAAGAAAGGGUAUAGCUACUUGAACAAGGGAGGCAGCAUCCAAAUGACAGCCUGCAUGUUGUUUAUUCACACAGAGUAACUGCUGGCCAAAAUAAUAUCUCCCGAUGUUCAUUUAGUGUUGACAGAAAUGGUGAGAAUAUUCAAUACUAUCAACUUUCAGCCACUGAAUGUGCUUAUUUUGAGAGCACUGUUCAAAGAAGUGGAUUCUAGCUAUAAACACUGCUUUUCCCCCCACUUAAAUAGUCUAUUGAAGAGGAAAAUACCCAUACACAUUAGUAAAAUGAGAAAUGAGAUAAAAAUAUUGUUUCCUUACUCUAAUGCCGACGAAGAAUAAUGGUAUGAUUUAAGGGACCUAAGUAAAUAGCAUAUCCCAGUAAUAUAAUCAGUAUUGUGAGCCACCUAACUCUCUCAUUCAAAGCCAAGGUGUGGAGAUUCUUAAGAUCAAAGAUAAGUGGUCGGAAUUUCUUAAGAGGGCCGACCAUGUGGGCAAGGGCUUUGUUGUUCAGACUUCGACCCUUCCCCAGAGCCUGAAGAUUUUCUUUAGAAAACAAAGUCAAUGCCACGACUGGACCUUUCAACACCACACCCAAAUGCUGCAACAGAUGAUAUCACUUUCCAGGGUAAACACAAGCAGUGUAUUCUGAGGCCACUGGCCCGACUUCCCAGGUUGACUCAUCCUGCCUUCCAGCCUUGAAGGGCAAUAUCCUUACCAACAUGUGAUCUGAAGGAGCUCUGAACCCUCCAGUGAGACAUCAGCCCAUCAGACUCACAGAGAACAGCAGGAAGGCCAAAGACUCAAGAUUUAUCUAUCCUUGAAGUGAGCAAAAUUCCUUGUUAUUCAGUGAUGCUGAUUACAACAGGCCUCCGUUAUACGAAGGGAAAACAUCCCAGACCCCCCAGUGAAUGCCUGAAACUGGAUUCUACUGAACCCUGAGAUGGUACUAAGUGACUAACGGGUGAAUAGCGUGUACAGCAUGGAUACACUAGACAAAGGGAGGAUUCGCAUCCCGGGCUGGUCAGCAAGAGGUUUCAUCACCCCACUCAAAAUGGCAGGACCGUAUGAACCUGAAUCCAGAGAAACGGCUCAUCAGUCUCCAAUCCUCUGAUUUUCUAAACCAGGACUACAUUAUAUUAAAACCAGAAAAAGCAAUACCUCUUUUCACAGAAUGGACUUUCUGGUGGAAAUGGGAGGAACCAAAAGAAGGCUGACUUCUUCAUUUUGACACCCUGCCCUGACUGCAGAACGUGAUUUCCCUAAAAGACUGAAUGUUAACCUCAAAGCCUGGUCAACCAACAUGCAGGAGAAAUCUUGACCAAGGCUCUGAGCAUGCUGUGGUCCCAGUGGUGAGGGUGUGAUAUGCACUGUCUGUUCCUGGAGUCACAGUGCUCAUCUUGUGGUAAAGACCUCUUGGAAGAAUGUCUUCAAAGGCACAUCUCCAGCUGGGAGUCCUUGUUUCCUGAUUUUUUUUUUUAAGUUUAUGUUAUAUGAACAAAUGAGACUGCUUUCCCGGCAGGAGUAGCCCUCAGACGCCCACUGUGAGCCUACUUUCUGGAAGAAGCCAACUCAGACAGACCACAGUGUGUGCACAGCAUACGUGGCUGCUGGCUGUGGAUGAGAAAGUAUUCCUGAUCUGUCAGAAUAAUGAUUUCAGCGUGUUCUCAGCAGGUCCUCAGUGUGAUCCCAUGAGGAUACCCUCAACCCCUUGCAUGACAUGUUGUACUUGGAGUCCUUCCCCAUUUCAAUUUCAGCAUCAGUGGGAGGGAAAUAGCAAAACAGCAUUCCUUCAUGUAGAUAACCAGUAGGCAGCAGGCUACUCCUGGUUCGUAACAUAACUCCACCAGUGUAUUCUGGCAGCCGGGCUUACUUAAGGGAGAGCACAGACAUUCCCUGCUCAAAAACAAAACUGCUAAACGUGACUCCGGUAGCCUCCAUGCUCUCUGCAAGAAUAAAAUCCUUGAAGAAAAAUUGUGAUAAGAAGUCUGUCUUUGGAGUCAGCCUGAGCACAAUCUUGCAUCUCCAGUUACCACCUGGGUGGCUUUAUUCACUUAAGAAAUACCUGUAGGAUACAUACUACAUGGCAGGCAUGCUUCUCAGAUGUUAGCUCAUCUUGCUAAGCCUCCAGUAUCUUCAUCUAAACAGUGAGGAUAACAGUAUGUACCUCCUAGGGCCAUCUGAGGAAAAAGUGAGAUAGUGUGUAUAAAGCUCAUAGCACAGGGCUCAUAGAGAGGAUUUGCAGUUAGUGUUGGCUGUGGCAGGUAUUAUUCCCUUUACCCCAGCCUAUGCCAUCCUUGCCACCCCAUCAGGAGCUCCUGAUGAUGCCAGCACCUCUUGCCGAGCCCUCAUCUGGGGCAGCGUACACCUUUAACUUUUUAUUCCUCUUGGCUUUGAUAUUCAUUGACCUGGAGCUACCCACACCAGGGGGCAGCAUAAAUAAUGGCAGAAGUCACAGUCUCUGCCCUGGCUUCACACCUCCUCUUGGUAUCAGCUGUUCACCAUGCUCUUCCUACUGACUCUCUGUAGGACCAGCACCAACACCAUGUCUUAAUCUGAUAUACAUACACACACACACACACACACACACACACACGAGACACUAUAAACAGUAUAUAUGCAAAACUAUAUAUAUUACUAUGUAUCUAAUAAAUGAAACUAAAAUAUAU